This is a non-coding RNA of Chelonoidis abingdonii (Abingdon island giant tortoise), 227 nucleotides long. The record is from RefSeq and is a predicted model, not a curated record. NCBI's taxonomy places the organism in Eukaryota, Metazoa, Chordata, Testudines, Testudinidae.
UGGGAAAACUGUUUGGAGAAGGCCAAGGAAGAGUCAGAACAAUUACAAAUCUCCAUGGGAGUGAGGGGGUCUCUCAGCACCGGGGGAGGGGUGAAGAUUUUCAUGGAGGGGAGUUGAGGAGAUAAAUGAGAGGCUUUUACUCCAGCAGAGGGAGCGGCUUGGCAGAGUCAUUUUUACCAAGUGAAACCCCCACUCCCACAGACCCAUGCUGCUCCCCUGCUUCUGCU